Molecule: ribosomal RNA, 465 nt
Filed under: Vreelandella stevensii
Lineage: Bacteria; Pseudomonadati; Pseudomonadota; Gammaproteobacteria; Oceanospirillales; Halomonadaceae
Description: partial 16S ribosomal RNA
Rfam family: Bacterial small subunit ribosomal RNA
Source: RNAcentral
CCUACGGGUGGCAGCAGUGGGGAAUAUUGGACAAUGGGCGAAAGCCUGAUCCAGCCAUGCCGCGUGUGUGAAGAAGGCCUUCGGGUUGUAAAGCACUUUCAGUGGGGAAGAAAGCCUUGGGGCUAAUACCCUCGAGGAAGGACAUCACCCACAGAAGAAGCACCGGCUAACUCCGUGCCAGCAGCCGCGGUAAUACGGAGGGGGCGAGCGUUAAUCGGAAUUACUGGGCGUAAAGCGCACGUAGGCGGUCUGAUAAGCCGGUUGUGAAAGCCCCGGGCUCAACCUGGGAACGGCAUCCGGAACUGUCAGGCUAGAGUGCAGGAGAGGAAGGUAGAAUUCCCGGUGUAGCGGUGAAAUGCGUAGAGAUCGGGAGGAAUACCAGUGGCGAAGGCGGCCUUCUGGACUGACACUGACGCUGAGGUGCGAAAGCGUGGGUAGCAAACAGGAUUAGAUACCCCGGUAGUC